This 185-nucleotide ribosomal RNA is filed under the name uncultured bacterium. RNAcentral's name for it is "partial 16S ribosomal RNA". It matches the Rfam family "Bacterial small subunit ribosomal RNA", at positions 1314 to 1500 of the family's 1533-position model. The record is from RNAcentral.
GCCUGCAUGAAGUCGGAAUUGCUAGUAAUCGCGGAUCAGCAUGCCGCGGUGAAUACGUUCCCGGGCCUUGUACACACCGCCCGUCACACCAUGGGAGUCGGUAACACCCGAAGCCGAUAGUCUAACGAAAGAGGACGUCGUCGAAGGUGGGAUUGAUGACUGGGGUGAAGUCGUAACAAGGUACC